GCGUGCCUAACACAUGCAAGUCGAACGGGAAUCUUCGGAUUCUAGUGGCGGACGGGUGAGUAACGCGUAAGAAUCUAACUUCAGGACGGGGACAACAGUUGGAAACGACUGCUAAUACCCGAUGUGCCGCAAGGUGAAAACUAAUUGGCCUGAAGAAGAGCUUGCGUCUGAUUAGCUAGUUGGUGGGGUAAGAGCCUACCAAGGCGACGAUCAGUAGCUGGUCUGAGAGGAUGAGCAGCCACACUGGGACUGAGACACGGCCCAGACUCCUACGGGAGGCAGCAGUGGGGAAUUUUCCGCAAUGGGCGAAAGCCUGACGGAGCAACGCCGCGUGAGGGAGGAAGGUCUUUGGAUUGUAAACCUCUUUUCUCAAGGAAGAAGUUCUGACGGUACUUGAGGAAUCAGCCUCGGCUAACUCCGUGCCAGCAGCCGCGGUAAUACGGGGGAGGCAAGCGUUAUCCGGAAUUAUUGGGCGUAAAGCGUCCGCAGGUGGUCAGCCAAGUCUGCCGUCAAAUCAGGUUGCUUAACGACCUAAAGGCGGUGGAAACUGGCAGACUAGAGAGCAGUAGGGGUAGCAGGAAUUCCCAGUGUAGCGGUGAAAUGCGUAGAGAUUGGGAAGAACAUCGGUGGCGAAAGCGUGCUACUGGGCUGUAUCUGACACUCAGGGACGAAAGCUAGGGGAGCGAAAGGGAUUAGAUACCCCUGUAGUCCUAGCCGUAAACGAUGGAUACUAGGCGUGGCUUGUAUCGACCCGAGCCGUGCCGAAGCUAACGCGUUAAGUAUCCCGC
This 788-nucleotide ribosomal RNA is filed under the name uncultured cyanobacterium. Its description in RNAcentral is "bacterial SSU rRNA". It matches the Rfam family "Bacterial small subunit ribosomal RNA", at positions 42 to 872 of the family's 1533-position model. Lineage: Bacteria; Bacillati; Cyanobacteriota. The record is from RNAcentral.